AAGGUGAUAGUUUAUAUUAUAAAAAACGUUAGUAUGUGGCCCUAAAGAAGAGAUGCUCUUACCUUA
This 66-nucleotide transfer RNA is filed under the name Colpocephalum griffoneae. RNAcentral's name for it is "tRNA-His". Lineage: Eukaryota; Metazoa; Arthropoda; Insecta; Psocodea; Menoponidae. The record is from RNAcentral.